Oreochromis niloticus (Nile tilapia) is the source of this 3574-nucleotide long non-coding RNA. Lineage: Eukaryota; Metazoa; Chordata; Actinopteri; Cichliformes; Cichlidae. The record is from Ensembl.
AUGCAGUUUACCAAUGCACAUACUGUAUCUACCUCCAGCCACUCCUUCCAGGCUUCUCCAUCUCCCCACCUGCCAUCACCUGCAGCCUCCUAUGCGUCUCCACCAUCCUGCCUUCCUGUCCCAGCCCCACCACCUCAUGAAGAGCAGCCUGAGCAGAUCGAUCGUCUUCUGGAGGAAGUGAUGAUGGGACUCGACAUUUUACCAAACAACAAAGGCAGCGCUUCACAUGCUCAGCAUCCCCUUCCAGCAGGUAGCAACACUGGCGCCUCUGCCUCUUCUGAAAUCACCUCAUCCCAAAACAAACCGCAGAGCCUGACUUCUGAGCUCCGUGAAUCCACUGAGGUUGCUGCUGUUGCAGGAGCAGCUGGUCGCUCCAGUCCUACAAAUGGUGUGGUGCCAGUUCUAGAUCAGCCGUGCGAGGGAGAGCUGGGUGACAUGCUGGACCAAUUCCUCCAGUCGUUUGAGCAGCAUGUUGAAAGCUGUCGUGCAAGAGAGGAGAUGGAGACGAGUGGUGUGAGCUCCACAGAGACCUGCCAACCUCACACUCUCAUGAACACUUACAAAAAAAACAAAGAUCACACUACAACCCCCUACAUUCCUCAACUACAAAAGAGCACCCACAGAAUUGAGUGCUCUCAAACACCUGAGCUGCACAUUGAUGAAAAUGAGUCUCAGGAGAGCCGCUCACAGUCACGCAAAGCCCACGCUGGCCGCACCGUUUCCCCCAAACGCAUAGAGGAAACCAGACCGACUUCAAAACGACAGAACAAAAGAAGACUAAAGCCUUAUCUGUUCUCACUAGAGAAGAAGAGGGUGAAGGUGAGGAAGCCAGACGAUGCGGUGAACAGAAACACUCAUGCCAGAAAAGAGAAGCAGCUAAAGCAGAUUCCUGUGGUGAACCUGGAGAGGAGAGACCUGCUGCCGGCCAAAGUGGCAACGCCGGGACACAUCUGUCAGAAUCUGGAAGGCAAGGGUCCUGAAGAAACAAAAAACAUAUCAUCUAUAGGGAAAAAUCCCCAUGGUGGCUUCUUGAAGAUCUACCCGAUCAGGAGCCGGUUAAGGGAACCACAAAUCCCGGAUGCUUUACUCUUCCUUCAGGAGCCACUUACAGCCAAACGCCUACCCUCAGCUGUUCAGUCAGGACGCAGACGUAGGGGCAGACCCAGGAAAAAUGACCCUCUCAGUUCAUCUAACAGAGAGUGUUCAAAACCACCCAUUCUGGCACAGCCUGCAGAUUUCUGUGUUGCAGAUGAACAACUUGAGAAAAACCAGGAGAGACAUGAGGAGGAGUUGGCUGUACAGCCACACGAAGAGGUGGGGGGGCCUACGAGGAGGGGACAGAAGAGGGGAGCAGAGUCAGACGAGAAUACGAGUGAUAACUCCACCGUGGCCAAGAGGGCUUGCUUUGAGACACCGACACAGCCACCCGCCUCUGAACCUGCAGACUUUACCUCUAAACUAGGAGCCACAGAUCCUGAGGAGAUAAUCGAUGUAGAGACUGUUUCUCUGACCGGAGACUGUUUACAGGAAGAAAAAGAAAAUCUCCUGUGGAGUGAACUCAGACUAGCUGAGGGAAGUCUGACAGAUGAGGAAGUGCAGAGCAGCGCUGAUGAGAUCAUCGAUGUGGAUGGAGACGACGAAAACAUGGAGAUGAAAGAAGAGAUUCACUGCCAGAGCAGAACAGCGCCGACUGUGUUUGCUGACCUGCAGCCUUCUGUUUCACCCUCACAGUCUGCAAAUGGAAGCUGGGACGUUGUCAAAGAUGAGGUCAUCGAUGUGAUUGGAGGCUCCAGUCCCGUCCCUGAACCGGUGACCAUCACGUGGACAGAGUCUUCAGAAGGUGAGGAAGAAGGAGGAGAGCAGGACGUUGAUGUAGUCGGAGAACACAAAGACAGCGCUUCAUCAGUGAUCUUCACCGCUGUGAUUAAAGACCUUGUCAAGAGAAACGUUCAGACUGAGGUGCACUUUCAUUAAUACCGCUAAUGCCCCCUUCUUUUCUGUUCAUGUGAUUUCUUACAUUGUUUCAUUUAACUGCGUCUAUUUCAGGGCUGGUGACAAAUGGUCGACGUAGAUGUUCAUAAAUGUUUGUCUUCUCUCUGUAUUGUGCUCACGUCCACGUGCAACAAUGCUGACAAUCACACCAAGGAUGUUUGUUUUGCUAUUCCACCGACGUUUAGGAUAAACUGAGCAAUAUGUGUCAUUUGUUUCAAGCAGUGAGGAAAGACCUGCAUCUGUGAGCUUAAUCAGAACAAAAGGACGUGUGUUUGUGUGAAGAUGUUUAGUUUUAAGCUCUUCAGCUGAGUAUAUAGAGACAGCUGGGAUUGUUCUUAUUUGAAGAAUUUUAUGUGUGUUACAAGUUUAAUAUUACUCAUUUGUAACUGUUAAGCAAAGUUUUUUUAAACUGAAGUGUUGGAAAUACAUUUAAAAAAAUCAGGUUUUUGUAUGUAAAAGAAAUGAAGCGUGUUUUAUUAGUUGUACAUAUGACAGUAACCGUGCAUUAUGCCUUAGUCACGCUUCAGCUGAAAAUCUACAUCGCAACUUAAUCUUCCACGGCGAUCAGAGUCGACCUGACCUGUAGUUGCAUUUCUCCAGAGCUGCACGUCAGGUUACGUUGUAAGUUACGACGUAGAUUUCCCGCUGAAGCAGAACUCAGUUAGUUGUAAAUAUGAUUGGUCACAUAUAUACAUGUAUGUCAGCUUCUGUUCCAGAAAACUUUCAGCAUUCCUUGUUUUUAUGUCCGUUUUCGUUUGCUAAUGUUCCCCGUGGCACUUUUGGUUCCAGGAUCUGUUUCCUGUAAUAAAGAUUUUUCUGUGAUGCUUGUAACCUUAUUACUGCGCAAGUGGAUCUGAAACAACAAACAACAACAAAAGCCUCAAAACACCAAGUUUUUUAGCUUCCGAUCAGCCAGAGCAAUAGUUCUUCAGUCUUUCUGAAGGUCAUUCAAGGUUUUUCUUUGGAUACUUCUUUACUUAAAUCCAUUAAAAAAUGCCACAAAUUGCGAAUUCAUAAAAAACACAGUUUGACAGACAUAAAGUCAAAGUGUUUCCUAGGUUAAAGCUCUUAUAAUGAAAGCUGUUCUCUGGUCAGACAACUCAAAACUCUAUUUGAAAAAAAAAAAAAAAAAAUUCUUGAAAAACAUGCCUCAUCCAAAAGAGGAAAAGGAACAUACAGCUUGUUAUCAGCACUCAGUUUAAGAGCCUGCGUCAUCAGUGCCUAUGGAAUUGGCAGCUUUGCACAUCUGGAAAGGCACCAUCAGUGGUGGAGGGUAUAUAAAAAUUUUAAAGUAACAUAUACUCCCAUCUGAACAUCUUUUCCAAAAAAAAAGAAUUGCAUGUUUGAGCAAAUCAAUGCUAAAUCACAUACUGCAUAUAUUAAAACAGCGUGGCUUCACAGUAGAAGAGUCUGGGAGCUGAACUGUCCUGCCUGCAGUCCAGACCUUUCACCAUCUGAACACAUUUGGCAUACGAUAAAGAAGACGAAGGACUGUCGAGCUGCUAGAAUCCUCUUUCAGACAAGAACAACAUUUCACUCCCAAAAGUCCAGCAACUGCUCUCCUCAGUUCCCAGAUGUUUAC